Molecule: non-coding RNA, 74 nt
Organism: Podarcis lilfordi (Lilford's wall lizard)
Lineage: Eukaryota; Metazoa; Chordata; Lepidosauria; Squamata; Lacertidae
Source: the annotation of a GenBank genome assembly
GGACCGUAGCUCCGUGGUAGAGCACCUGCCUUGCUGCAUGCAAGAGGUCCCAGGUUCAAUCCCUGGUGUCUCCA